GCUAAACGCGAAGAACCUUACCAGCCCUUGACAUCCCGGUCGCGGUUCGUGGAGACACGAUCCUUCAGUUCGGCUGGACCGGAGACAGGUGCUGCAUGGCUGUCGUCAGCUCGUGUCGUGAGAUGUUGGGUUAAGUCCCGCAACGAGCGCAACCCUCGCCUCUAGUUGCCAUCAUUCAGUUGGGCACUCUAGAGGGACUGCCGGUGAUAAGCCGAGAGGAAGGUGGGGAUGACGUCAAGUCCUCAUGGCCCUUACGGGCUGGGCUACACACGUGCUACAAUGGCGGUGACAAUGGGCAGCUAACCCGCGAGGGUGAGCUAAUCUCCAAAAGCCGUCUCAGUUCGGAUUGCAGGCUGCAACCCGCCUGCAUGAAGCUGGAAUCGCUAGUAAUGGCGUAUCAGAAUGACGCCGUGAAUACGUUCCCGGGUCUUGUACACACCG
This 441-nucleotide ribosomal RNA is filed under the name uncultured bacterium. RNAcentral describes it as "bacterial SSU rRNA". It matches the Rfam family "Bacterial small subunit ribosomal RNA", at positions 954 to 1392 of the family's 1533-position model. The record is from RNAcentral.